RNAcentral lists this transfer RNA (58 nucleotides) under Cricetulus griseus (Chinese hamster). Lineage: Eukaryota; Metazoa; Chordata; Mammalia; Rodentia; Cricetidae. The record is from Rfam by way of RNAcentral.
UGGCUUAGUGGUUAAAAGCACUGCCUGCUCUUCCAGAGGUCCUGGGUUCAAUUCCCAG